UACAGAGGUCCCAAGCGUUGUUCGGAUUCAUUGGGCGUAAAGGGUGUGUAGGCGGCGCGGUAAGUCGGGUGUGAAAUCUCGGAGCUUAACUCCGAAACUGCAUUCGAUACUGCCGUGCUUGAGGACUGGAGAGGAGACUGGAAUUUACGGUGUAGCGGUGAAAUGCGUAGAUAUCGUAAGGAAGACCAGUGGCGAAGGCGGGUCUCUGGACAGUUCCUGACGCUGAGGCACGAAGGCUAGGGGAGCAAACAGG
Molecule: ribosomal RNA, 253 nt
Filed under: uncultured bacterium
Lineage: Bacteria
Description: partial 16S ribosomal RNA
Rfam family: Bacterial small subunit ribosomal RNA
Source: RNAcentral